This 1186-nucleotide long non-coding RNA is filed under the name Solanum lycopersicum (tomato). Its description in RNAcentral is "long non-coding RNA (SLYC_LNC001261)". Lineage: Eukaryota; Viridiplantae; Streptophyta; Magnoliopsida; Solanales; Solanaceae. The record is from RNAcentral.
UCUUUUCUGCCAUUUUUCUCUUCAUUCACACCUUCAUCUUUUUCUUCCUCUGCCUAUAUUAAUGUCUGCAAAAUAUGACAAUUUGGUGGGCUUAAAAGUUUCUUGGGCCGCGAUAACAAUUUGGACCUCGAAACCGAUUCACCAAGGUACCGGAAAAGUUGACAUUAUUUUAUGAAAAAUUUAGCUAAACUAGUCAAAAAAAUCAACUUAUUUAGUGAUAUCUUUCGUACUUUAAUAAUAAACAUGUCAAAAAUGUUAUUAUUUUAAAAAUAAAAAAAUAUGAUGAUGCGAAUCAUGUUUUCUCUCUCCUAAAUUGCACGGGCCCAUAUAUUUCGAUAAUUGGCUAGAUAUUAAAGUCCUUAAAUUAUGGGUUUUUUUUCAAUUUCUCUUUCUAAAAAAUUAAUCCAAAUCAAAUAUACCCAGAUUUUCAGAUUCAAUAUAUUUUUAUUUUCGAUUGUUUUCCUUUACUUUUGUUUCAAGAUUGGAUUUGAAGAUUAACAUUGAUUUGAGUAUUCAAGUUUAUCAUAUUCUUUAUUAUUUGCUUAUUGAUUUUACAGUUUUUAAAGUCUUUUUGAUUUGUUGUUGUUCUUAAAAACCUCUUUUAGGGAUUGAUAAUCCCAAAUUUUCUCUUCCAUGGAUGAUUUCAAAAGAGUUACUAAAGGUGUCGGACAAAAUAAUCGAACUUCUUCUGAUUUUUCAUCAUUUAAUCUUUUUUUCACUCAAGAAAUAAACAAUAAUGUAGGUUCCGCUUCUAAAUUUAUGGAGGAUAGACGAUGUGGAAAAUUGAAGGACUCCGUCAAUGUGCUAAAUUCCACACAAAUUCAUAACGAUAAAGUUGAAGAAGACCAAAUUGUUAGAGAAGAGGUAUCUUAUUUUUUUGCAUGUUCUGUGUCUUGCAUGUUUAGUUGAAUUUGCUUAGUAACUUUAAAGAUUCAAAUAAAUACAUGUUACAAUGCGUUUGUACUAUUAUAGAAUAGAUUUGGAAGUGUAUACGAAAUUUUGAUUUUGUUAGAGUUAUUAUGUAUUUUUGUAUUUCAUAUAUUUAUUGUAUUUUGUAUUCUGAUUAUUUUUGUGUGUUAGUUAUGUCAAUGAAACACAUAUUAUGCGUUUGAUUGUGUUAUUUACUAUUAUAGAAUAAGUUUGUGAGUAUAUAUGGAAUUUUGAUUCUGUUAUAGUUAGUAUGUAG